This 494-nucleotide ribosomal RNA is filed under the name uncultured bacterium. RNAcentral's name for it is "partial 16S ribosomal RNA". It matches the Rfam family "Bacterial small subunit ribosomal RNA", at positions 28 to 507 of the family's 1533-position model. The record is from RNAcentral.
GACGAACGCUGGCGGCGUGCUUAACACAUGCAAGUCGAACGGAAAGGCCUGCUUUCCCUUGUGGAUUGCGGGUACUCGAGUGGCGAACGGGUGAGUAACACGUGAGUGAUCUGCCCCCAACUUGGGUAUAAGCCUGGGAAACUGGGUCUAAUUCCCGAUAGGACUGCAGGGUGGUGUCUGUGGUGGAAAACGAUUUUCUAGUGGUUGGGGAUGAGCUCGCGGCCUAUCAGCUUGUUGGUGGGGUAAUGGCCUACCAAGGCGGCGACGGGUAGCCGGCCUGAGAGGGCGGACGGGCACAUUGGGACUGCGAUACGGCCCAGACUCCUACGGGAGGCAGCAGUGGGGAGUAUGACACAAUGGGCGGAAGCCUGAUGCAGCGACGCCGCGUGGGGGAUGACGGCCUUCGGGUUGUAAACUCCUUUCGACCGCGAGGAAGCCACCUGGUUGGAAGGGUGGUGACGGUAGUGGUAGAAGAAGCACCGGCUAACUACGUG